ACGCUCGACACCUAUGGGAGGCAGCAGUGGGGAAUAUUGCACAAUGGGGAAACCCUGAUGCAGCGACGCCGCGUGGAGGAAGAAGGUCUUCGGAUUGUAAACUCCUGUUGUUGGGGAAAAAGNGGAUGGUACCCAACAAGGAAGUGACGGCUAACUACGUGCCGGCAGCCGCGGUAAUCUGAGCGGCUGGCAAGGC
Molecule: ribosomal RNA, 196 nt
Filed under: uncultured bacterium
Lineage: Bacteria
Description: partial 16S ribosomal RNA
Rfam family: Bacterial small subunit ribosomal RNA
Source: RNAcentral